Molecule: ribosomal RNA, 292 nt
Filed under: uncultured bacterium
Lineage: Bacteria
Description: partial 16S ribosomal RNA
Rfam family: Bacterial small subunit ribosomal RNA
Source: RNAcentral
GUGCCAGCCGCCGCGGUAAUACGGAGGGUGCAAGCGUUAUCCGGAAUCAUUGGGUUUAAAGGGUCCGUAGGCGGGCAAUUAAGUCAGGGGUGAAAGUUUGCGGCUCAACCGUAAAAUUGCCUUUGAUACUGGUUGUCUUGAAUUAUUAUGAAGUGGUUAGAAUGAGCAGUGUAGCGGUGAAAUGCAUAGAUAUUGCUCAGAAUACCAGUUGCGAAGGCAGAUCACUAAUAAUAUAUUGACGCUGAUGGACGAAAGCGUGGGGAGCGAACAGGAUUAGAAACCCCAGUAGUCC